RNAcentral lists this ribosomal RNA (687 nucleotides) under uncultured bacterium. RNAcentral describes it as "bacterial SSU rRNA". It matches the Rfam family "Bacterial small subunit ribosomal RNA", at positions 62 to 739 of the family's 1533-position model. The record is from RNAcentral.
UCGAGGGGCAGCAUGAUUGAAGCUUGCUUCAAUCGAUGGCGACCGGCGCACGGGUGAGUAACACGUAUCCAACCUGCCGAUAACUCGGGGAUAGCCUUUCGAAAGAAAGAUUAAUACCCGAUAGUAUAGUAUUUCCGCAUGGUUUCACUAUUAAAGAAUUUCGGUUAUCGAUGGGGAUGCGUUCCAUUAGAUAGUUGGCGGGGUAACGGCCCACCAAGUCAACGAUGGAUAGGGGUUCUGAGAGGAAGGUCCCCCACAUUGGAACUGAGACACGGUCCAAACUCCUACGGGAGGCAGCAGUGAGGAAUAUUGGUCAAUGGACGAGAGUCUGAACCAGCCAAGUAGCGUGAAGGAUGACUGCCCUAUGGGUUGUAAACUUCUUUUAUACGGGAAUAAAGUGGAGUAUGCAUACUCCUUUGUAUGUACCGUAUGAAUAAGGAUCGGCUAACUCCGUGCCAGCAGCCGCGGUAAUACGGAGGAUCCGAGCGUUAUCCGGAUUUAUUGGGUUUAAAGGGAGCGUAGGCGGGUGCUUAAGUCAGUUGUGAAAGUUUGCGGCUCAACCGUAAAAUUGCAGUUGAUACUGGGCGCCUUGAGUGCAGCAUAGGUAGGCGGAAUUCGUGGUGUAGCGGUGAAAUGCUUAGAUAUCACGAAGAACUCCGAUUGCGAAGGCAGCUUACUGGACUGUAA